Long non-coding RNA from Pezoporus flaviventris, 1891 nucleotides. RefSeq lists it as uncharacterized. The record is from RefSeq and is a predicted model, not a curated record. The transcript has 3 exons. Lineage: Eukaryota; Metazoa; Chordata; Aves; Psittaciformes; Psittacidae.
CCUAAUCCUCCUCAAGAAAUGGUUGUCAUUUUCAUUGUUCAUAUUGAGGUAAUUAGUGAAUGGCACUCUUAGCUAAACCUUGUAGUCAAAUUAGUCUUCUCUUGUGCUCCAUGGUAGAAUAGUAUUUGAUCCAAUCCACAGUGCUGUGUAUGACCUCAGUUUUGAGAUUCCAUUGCUGCCUUGCAAACCAGAAGCAAGCAGCAGGAAUCAUGUGGAGAGGUAUUUCCUCCUGGGAUUGUUCCUGAGCUUGGCAAAGGGAAGGCAUUGAGCUUUAUGGCAGAAUCUGCAUUGCCCCACCUUUAGUUCCAUCAGAGACCGUAGUGGGCUUGGUUUUCUUGUUGUUUUUUUCAGCACCUUUUAGUCUGAUAGGCGUGUUUCUUGAUAUCAGAAAAGAAGGAAUUUCUUCCAGCCUAAAUCCAAUUAGGGGGAGAAGGAAAGAUGGUGUUCAGGGGCUUCUUUAGCUGCCUCCAUUUCUAUCCUUUUGCGGCAUCUUGAGCAAAACCAGAAGCAACAGCUAGUUUCCAGAGUAGCAGCUAAUCUACUACUACUUCUAAAAUUCUUCAUCAAAAUGAGAGAAUGAUACCCUGCCCUUCUCAGCUGCUGUUGUUGUCAGCACUUAGCUAAUGUUUUGAUCUUUAAGGUAUGUAACACCGGUGCGCACACCAAGUCUAACUGUAUUUUCUUCUCUCUCACUUCCCAUAUGUCCUGGGUUCAGCAGCCUGCUGAAGGUAAGCUGACGUUUUACAAUUGCUAAUGAUUUUUCCUCAACUUUUUUUUGUUUUGGUUUUGUUUUUUUCCAAUGAACAUGAGCAGCAUGGAUUGAAACUGCUUUUCCAAAAGGCAGAGGACAGUGCUAAAAUAUCUGGACAGUGUCUUUCAGAAUGGAUCUAUUCUGUACUUUACAGUCACUAUCAGAGCUUGCAGGAUGUAUCUGAAAUAAAAUGCAUCAAAGCUGCUCAAAAUAUGUUUUCUUGUUUUCCAAAUACAGAAAGUCUGUAAGGACAAAGUCACUUGUAAUCAUCACUUUUAGCACUGGAAUUCACCUGCUUUGAAUAAGAAAAUGUUGAAAGAGGGGUUUAUCCUUUAUUGCAGUGGAGUUCCUGCAGUGUAGGACAUGUUGAAAGCUAUUCAUAACCACACAAUUCAGGAUAGUUCCAGGGCUAUAGAUUUUAUACUGUAUCUAACUUGCUGUCAUUAAAUUACAGAGAACCAGCAAGAAGGGGGAAAUUCUGGACCAAGAGUCCAGCAACAGUCGGAUAUCACUGUUCCAGCUAGAGGUGAUCCAGAUGAGUCAAGAUGUAAUGAUAUGCCACCUGGUACCAUUAGAUGUCUGAUCUACAUGGAUUUCUACUUGGCGGUAAGGAUCUGCAUUUUGUCGUGGCUUCUUUUUUGUCAGAGGGAGAACAGGGUGCGGGGUGAGCCGAGCCUCUCUGCUGGGUGAUGUGGGAUGCUGCAGACAGCUGGUUUGAGGUACAGACCUCACUGUGAAGGUCAAGCUGGCUUGCAAGUCAAAGUCAUUUCUUGGUGGUCAACACAGUGCCAGAAACACUUCCCAAGGGGGCACUGAAAGACCUUUGGGUUCCUUUAAUCAGUAAUGUACUGAUCCCAGGCACCCAAGUCCUCUCUUCCUGGUGCCAAUAGACCAGCAAAGCAUAAUUCUUCACACCAAAUUCCUCUUGUGCUGUUUUUUCUUCCAGAUUGUGCAAAACGGAUGACAUCUUGUGGCAACCAUAUGCGGCCACGUCUUCUGCAACCACUGUCUUUAUUAUUCCCUUAUGAAUGCCAACACUUGCCCAACCUGCAAGACAGAGCUUGGUGAUGGAGACUAUCAUCGCCUAUAUAUAUGAGUUUAUUUAUGUUUUAUUGUUCCAAAUAAAAAUAGUUGUGUUUU